GGCGUCCGCUAGGGCGCGCUGCGAGACCGGGAAUGCCCGCCCGGCGCCCCGCCGCCCCGGCCGCGCGCACACGCCGUGCCCUCGCCCCCCUCGAAAUCAUAUUUACAGUUCUUUUUUUUCCCCCCUCUCCUGUGACAUUUUCUCCAAAUCGGAAAAUGAAGUGUAAGUCGAGCUUUGCCGCAGGCGGCCCUCGGUCUCCGCUUUCCGGCUCGGGGUCCCGGAGUGAGAUGCGCUGCCCCCGGCAGUGCGAACCCCGGGGGACGGAGUGGGGCCCCCAGCCCAGCACCCCGGGCCCGGCCGCUCCGCCAGCGGAGACCGCGGAGUCCGGCUCUGCGCCGCGCGCGGGUGCGCUCCGGACGCGGCGAGUCGCAGGCCUCGCCGCGGGUUCAAGUGCAUCCCCGCGGCUGGAGCCCGCGGCUCUGAGAGCGAGUUCUGCCCUGCUCAGCCCCCUCUGGGAGUUCUGUGCGCCCGCGGCUCCCGGGCCCCUCUCCCCGACCCCGCAGCGCGCUGGGCCGCCGGCUGGGGGCAGGCACCCGGCUCGCGCUCCUCCUGGCCCGGGCCGGGCCCCCGGCGCGGCGCUGCCCCCGGGCCGAGCAGGAGGCUCCGCCUGGAAAAGAAGUCAGACUUCCUCUCCACGCUGCUCCGACUGGAAUCUGGAAUCGGCAGGAAAUUGCUCCAACACCCGGGCCGCGCCUUUGCAGUCAGCCCUCGCUUUGCUGAAGAGAAGCAGCUCCCACCAAAGUCUUGCCUCCCCCUCCCCCCGAAAGCCCCGCGCAGCUACCCAUCUGGGACAGUGCUUCCAGUCUCCUGUGCAUCUAGCUGGGGUCAUGUGACGAGUUUUCACCACUGGAAAACGAGCAGAAGGAGCAUUUCUAAGAAGUGAAUGUGCCAUCUCCACUAUCUCUGAGGGCAGGAAAUGAUUCUGAAGACAUAGGGCAAGGCCAAGCCUCAAGUUAGAAACCUGAAUCCUUCAUCCCACAGCUUUCAAGCUCAACAUGCCCAUCCCUCCCCAGACCCAUUAAGUGGCAAAGAAGGGAAAUAUUUCUACUUUCUUCAUGGUCUUCGAAAGGAUGGACACACAGCCCUGAGGGAAAUCGCUGGCCAGAGGAAAGCAGUCCCCUAGAGAUAGCAAUCCAAAUAUCAUCAUAGAGCUGGGCCACAGCCAGCAUCUCCAUCAGCAACUUUGAAGAGUUGUCUGUCUUCCCAGCACAAUAAAACUGGAGACAUGAGCAUCCAGAGCUCCAGCCAGCACAAUUACAUGAAGCCAAAGCGCAUUAUCACUUCUAGGUUGCAGGAUUUAUGACCAGCUCCGAUGGAAAAUAAAGACAGAGAUACUCUACUUGUCUGAAUUCAUCACUCACAAAAGGCAGUAUGUUUUAAUCAUAGAGAAGUUGUCUAUAUUGUACUUUUUCUAACAAAAACCUUCACAAGCAGAGCAGAAACGGAUACCAGCAUCUUAAAGAAAAAAAGAAAAAUGCAAAAGAUUGCCAGUUUGAUUCUGUUCAGAAAAUAUGCCCUUGAUAUCCUUUAUUGUUGAAAAGCUCCUUUCAAAUGCAUUGAGGCAAGUGCUUCUAUUUUGGAGUUUCCCUGGGUUUGGGAAACUGCUUCUAACCUGAGUGGAACAGAGGGGUAGGUUUGUAGGUCUGUAUGGUGUAUCAGUGUCAGCUGAUCCAGGGACUAAGUAAUGAGGCUAAAAUCAUUCUACUUCUAGGAUGCCUGUGACUUCCAUUUGCCAUGAGAGUGUUAAUUCCUGUGGCAGUACGCCUGCCAUGAGCUCCCCCAGAGCCAUGCUCUUCACCAGCACAGCAUUCUCAGGCAUUACUACAGAUGCUCAUUAAUCAUCUCUACUCUAGGAGGUACGCCCUGUGAGCUCAGACUCUUGGUGUUCCUGGCUCAGUGCUAGGACAUGGUGAAUGCAGAAAAUAUUGAAGAGCUCUGAUUAGGUUGUGAUUUUAAGUAAUUAAAAUUCUUGGGCUGGCCCUGUGGCAUAGUGGUUAAGUUCAGCAUGCUCCACUUCAGCAGCCUGGGUUCAGUUCCAGGGUGUGGACUCAAACCACUCAUUGGUGGCCGUGCUGUGGUGGCGACCCACAUACAAAAUAGAAGAAGAUUGGCACAGAUGAUAGCUCUGGGAGAAUCUUCCUCAAGCAAAAAGAGGAAGAUUGGCAACAGGUAAUAGCUCAGGACCAAUCUUCCUCAGCAGAAAAAAAUUAUUUACAAGGACCAUUUGUUUUCACUGUUAGUUCCCUCAUAGACAAAGAAAGGGUAAACCAGUGUGGUUUUUGUCUAAUGUUUUCAAAUUUUGAAUUAUUUAAAUACAUGUUGGUGAAAUUGCUAUUUAACUGUUUAUCAGAACCAAAAUUACAGCCUCAAACCUUCCACAAAAUGGAAAAGACUGUUUGGAAAAGGAAGGAAGGUGCCACAUAAUCCUUUAAACACAAGAUUCAGCCCUUACUUCUACUGAUGCUUGGAAUAGCUCCCAAAACCCUAAAAGUGGGUUUGUUUCCGGAACACCUGGACCAGAGACCACAUUUUUAUGAGGUUUGCCUUUCACAGUGAAGUUUACAUCAGGGAGCUAUAUUUUCCCUAUAUUUACUUUUAAGUCAUUUGGGUUUUCUAAUAAAAUAACAAUUCUCAUUUUCUUCCUUCUUCCCAGAUGAACACAUUUAUUGUUUUAAUCUGUGAAAGGUUCUACAUGGGGCUGUGGUUGAUGAUUGGGACGCUCUGGAAUGGUGCAUUAGGAAAAGAAUAUUAUUUACAUUUAGGAAAAUACUCAGUUGGCUGAAUGUCUAGCCACUAAAAUAAUAACAGUUCGUCAAAACAUAGUUAUCCCAAAUAUCCUUUCAAGAGCGGCGAUCAGAUUUCCUGAAGAGUCCAAGAUGAGGAUGAGAAUUGUGAGGAGGCGAGACCAGAGGGACAAACCAGGUUUGGAAACAGGAAGUAGGUCAAGGAAUUGAGGGUUUGAAAUAUAGGAAAAGAAAGAACUCAUGGAAUUCUCCUCCGUAGACGUCUAGUCUGAACGUAAUCCAGGCUGGUGGGAGGUAAAAUCACUAUCUGAUAUUCUGUGGCCACCUCAAAAAUGUGUUGGUAGUUUCAACCAGACUGGAGUCCACAUUGAAAAACCAUCAGCCCCACUGCCUCAGGCUGCACAGCACAGCUACAGGCCCAAAUCUGCCCAGAGGGACCCAGUGCCACUUAUGGUCAGGAUGGGGGUUGGUGGGGAGAAGAGCAGCAUGUGUACUCAAGCUGGUCGCUAAGGGGGACAGUGGGGGUGUCCAGUCCAGGGCGAUGCAUUCAGCUCCGCUCUGGAGCAGUAAACAGAGAAGUGACAAGAGGCUGGGCUCCCUUGUUGUUGUUGUUGUUAGUGCCUUUGAGUUGAUUCUGACUCUGUGAAGCAGAGCAGAACCCUGCUUUUUGCCCCAUCCUCUCACCUUUUGGUGCUGUAUCAGACGAUGCUCUGCUGUUAAUCAUAGGAGUUUCAUGGCCAGUGUUUUUGUAAGUGGGUGGCCAGGUCCUUCUUCCUAGGCUGUCUUAGUCUGGAAGCUCUGCUGAAACCUGUCCACCCUGGGUGACCCUGCUGGGACUUGAAUUUCUAGUGGCAUAGCCUUCAGCAUCAUAGCAACACGCAGACACCACAGGAUGACAACCAAGAGAUGGCAGUGUGGUUCCCUGACCAGGAAAGGAACUCGAGUCCUGGUGGUGAGAGUUCCGAAUCUUAACCACUUGGCCACCAGGGCUGGCUAAGCUCUUUUGUUAGGAACUCUUAAUCUUGUAAGGUGACCAUAGAUUGGUAGAUUUAUUUUUUUAUUCAAAUAAUAACUUGGAGUAUAUAUAUAAUAAAUAUGUAUGUGUAUAUGUACAUGCUUGAUUAGUAUUUAUAUAAAAGUGAAUGUAUUAAAACAUUCUAAACUUACAUUGUGGUGAUGGUUGCGCAUCUCUGUGAAUACACUAAAACCCAUUAAGUUGUACACUUUAAAUGGAUAAGUUUUAUGAUAUGUGAUUAUAUCUCACUAAAGAUGUUUUCAUCCCUUUAUUUUUCUAAAAAUAAAAAUUGUAGACUGGGU
RNAcentral lists this long non-coding RNA (4061 nucleotides) under Equus caballus (horse). RNAcentral's name for it is "lncRNA (ENSECAG00000033816.3)". Lineage: Eukaryota; Metazoa; Chordata; Mammalia; Perissodactyla; Equidae. The record is from RNAcentral.